This 255-nucleotide ribosomal RNA is filed under the name uncultured bacterium. Its description in RNAcentral is "partial 16S ribosomal RNA". It matches the Rfam family "Bacterial small subunit ribosomal RNA", at positions 524 to 776 of the family's 1533-position model. The record is from RNAcentral.
UACGUAGGUGACCAGCGUUGUCCGGAUUUACUGGGCGUAAAGGGCGCGUAGGCGGCCACUGCAAGUCAGUUGUGAAAUCUCCGGGCUUAACCCGGAAAGGUCAGCUGAUACUGCAGGGCUAGAGUGCAGAAGGGGCAACUGGAAUUCUCGGUGUAGCGGUGAAAUGCGUAGAUAUCGAGAGGAACACCUGCGGCGAAGGCGGGUUGCUGGGCUGACACUGACGCUGACAGCGCGAAAGCUAGGGGAGCGAACGGG